This 30-nucleotide non-coding RNA is filed under the name Mus musculus (house mouse). The record is from RNAcentral. Lineage: Eukaryota; Metazoa; Chordata; Mammalia; Rodentia; Muridae.
UCCAAGAUAUCCCACCUCUAUUUCAUGCCU